Molecule: ribosomal RNA, 254 nt
Filed under: uncultured bacterium
Lineage: Bacteria
Description: partial 16S ribosomal RNA
Rfam family: Bacterial small subunit ribosomal RNA
Source: RNAcentral
CGGAGGGUGCGAGCGUUGUCCGGAUUUAUUGGGUUUAAAGGGUGCGUAGGUGGCUAUUUAAGUCAGUGGUGAAAUACAGCCGCUCAACGGUUGAGGUGCCAUUGAUACUGAUUAGCUUGAAAUAAUUGGAGGCUGCCGGAAUGGAUGGUGUAGCGGUGAAAUGCAUAGAUAUCAUCCAGAACACCGAUUGCGAAGGCAGGUGGCUACGAUUUAUUUGACACUGAGGCACGAAAGCAUGGGGAGCAAACAGGAUU